UAUAUUUUAGUGUAAGAAGCACAAUAAUUUUUGAUAUUAUUAGAUUUAGUUUGAUUCUAAAAAAUAUAA
RNAcentral lists this transfer RNA (69 nucleotides) under Tineola bisselliella. Its description in RNAcentral is "tRNA-Gln". The record is from RNAcentral. Lineage: Eukaryota; Metazoa; Arthropoda; Insecta; Lepidoptera; Tineidae. RNAcentral also lists the same sequence under 1 other name.